GUGCCUGUAGCUCAAUUGGAUAGAGCGUUGGCCUCCGGAGCCAAAGGCUGAGGGUUCAAGUCCCCCCAGGCACG
This 74-nucleotide transfer RNA is filed under the name Elusimicrobiota bacterium. RNAcentral's name for it is "Elusimicrobia bacterium (activated sludge metagenome) tRNA-Arg". It matches the Rfam family "tRNA". Rfam says of the family: Transfer RNA (tRNA) molecules are approximately 80 nucleotides in length. Their secondary structure includes four short double-helical elements and three loops (D, anti-codon, and T loops). Lineage: Bacteria; Pseudomonadati; Elusimicrobiota. RNAcentral also lists the same sequence under 1 other name. The record is from RNAcentral.